This 253-nucleotide ribosomal RNA is filed under the name uncultured bacterium. Its description in RNAcentral is "partial 16S ribosomal RNA". It matches the Rfam family "Bacterial small subunit ribosomal RNA", at positions 524 to 776 of the family's 1533-position model. The record is from RNAcentral.
UACGUAGGGGGCUAGCGUUGCUCGGAAUUACUGGGCGUAAAGGGCGCGUGGGCGGCCAUUUAAGUCAGGGGUGAAAUCCCAGAGCUCAACUCUGGAACUGCCUUUGAUACUGGGUGUCUUGAGUGUGAUAGAGGUAUGUGGAACUCCGAGUGUAGAGGUGAAAUUCGUAGAUAUUCGGAAGAACACCAGUGGCGAAGGCGACAUACUGGAUCAUUACUGACGCUGAGGCUCGAAAGCGUGGGGAGCAAACAGG